RNAcentral lists this ribosomal RNA (492 nucleotides) under uncultured bacterium. RNAcentral's name for it is "partial 16S ribosomal RNA". It matches the Rfam family "Bacterial small subunit ribosomal RNA", at positions 29 to 507 of the family's 1533-position model. The record is from RNAcentral.
AGUGAACGCUGGCGGUAGGCCUAACACAUGCAAGUCGAACGGCAGCACAGUAAGAGCUUGCUCUUACGGGUGGCGAGUGGCGGACGGGUGAGGAAUACAUCGGAAUCUACUUUUUCGUGGGGGAUAACGUAGGGAAACUUACGCUAAUACCGCAUACGACCUACGGGUGAAAGCAGUGGAUCUUCGGACCUUGCGCGAUUGAAUGAGCCGAUGUCGGAUUAGCUAGUUGGCGGGGUAAAGGCCCACCAAGGCGACGAUCCGUAGCUGGUCUGAGAGGAUGAUCAGCCACACUGGAACUGAGACACGGUCCAGACUCCUACGGGAGGCAGCAGUGGGGAAUAUUGGACAAUGGGCGAAAGCCUGAUCCAGCCAUACCGCGUGGGUGAAGAAGGCCUUCGGGUUGUAAAGCCCUUUUGUUGGGAAAGAAAAGCAGCGGGUUAAUACCCCGCCGUUCUGACGGUACCCAAAGAAUAAGCACCGGCUAACUUCGUG